CCUACGGGAGGCAGCAGUGGGGAAUUUUGCGCAAUGGGCGAAAGCCUGACGCAGCAACGCCGCGUGCGGGAUGACGGCCUUCGGGUUGUAAACCGCUUUCAGUGGGAAAGAUAAUGACGGUACCCACACAAGAAGCUCCGGCUAAAUACGUGCCAGCAGCCGCGGUAAUACGUAUGGAGCAAGCGUUAUCCGGAUUUAUUGGGCGUAAAGCGCGCGUAGGCGGCUUGUUAAGCAAGGUCUUAAAUCUUGGGGCUCAACCUCAAGCCGGAUCUUGAACUGGCAGGCUCGAGUAUGGUAGAGGAAAGUGGAAUUCCCAGUGUAGCGGUGGAAUGCGCAGAUAUUGGGAAGAACACCGAUGGCGAAGGCAGCUUUCUGGGCCAUUACUGACGCUGAGGUGCGAAAGCUAGGGGAGCAAACAGGAUUA
Molecule: ribosomal RNA, 424 nt
Filed under: uncultured Kryptousia sp.
Lineage: Bacteria; Bacillati; Cyanobacteriota; Cyanophyceae; Nostocales; Tolypothrichaceae
Description: bacterial SSU rRNA
Rfam family: Bacterial small subunit ribosomal RNA
Source: RNAcentral